This 460-nucleotide ribosomal RNA is filed under the name uncultured bacterium. RNAcentral's name for it is "partial 16S ribosomal RNA". It matches the Rfam family "Bacterial small subunit ribosomal RNA", at positions 338 to 795 of the family's 1533-position model. The record is from RNAcentral.
CCUACGGGUGGCAGCAGUGAGGAAUAUUGGUCAAUGGGCGGGAGCCUGAACCAGCCAAGUCGCGUGAGGGAAGACGGUCCUCUGGAUUGUAAACUUCUUUUAUAAAGGAAUAAAACGAGGCACGUGUGCCUUUUUGCAUGUACUUUAUGAAUAAGGAUCGGAUAACUCCGCGCCAGCAGCCGCGGUAAUACGGAGGAUCCGAGCGUUAUCCGGAUUUAUUGGGUUUAAAGGGAGCGUAGAUGGGUUGUUAAGUCAGUUGUGAAAGUUUGCGGCUCAACCGUAAAAUUGCAAUUGAUACUGGCAGUCUUGAGUACAGUUGAGGUAGGCGGAAUUCGUGGUGUAGCGGUGAAAUGCUUAGAUAUCACGAAGAACCCCGAUUGCGAAGGCAGCUUACUAAACUGUGACUGACAUUGAGGCGCGAAAGUGUGGGUAUCAAACAGGAUUAGAUACCCGAGUAGUC